UCNGAAAUCUGAGAAAAGUGCUUUCAUAG
Molecule: non-coding RNA, 29 nt
Filed under: Mus musculus (house mouse)
Lineage: Eukaryota; Metazoa; Chordata; Mammalia; Rodentia; Muridae
Source: RNAcentral